UACGUAGGGUGCGAGCGUUAAUCGGAAUUACUGGGCGUAAAGCGUGCGCAGGCGGUUUUGUAAGCCAGAUGUGAAAGCCCCGGGCUUAACCUGGGAAUGGCAUUUGGGACUGCAAGGCUGGAGUGUGGCAGAGGAGACUGGAAUUCCCGGUGUAGCGGUGAAAUGUGUAGAGAUCGGGAGGAACACCGGUGGCGAAGGCGGGUCUCUGGGCAAUUCCUGACGCUGAGGCGCGAAAGCGUGGGGAGCAAACGGG
This 253-nucleotide ribosomal RNA is filed under the name uncultured bacterium. Its description in RNAcentral is "partial 16S ribosomal RNA". It matches the Rfam family "Bacterial small subunit ribosomal RNA", at positions 524 to 776 of the family's 1533-position model. The record is from RNAcentral.